UACGUAGGGUGCAAGCGUUUAAUCGGAAUUACUGGGCGUAAAGCGUGCGCAGGCGGUUAUGUAAGACAGGUGUGAAAUCCCCGGGCUUAACCUGGGAACUGCAUUUGUGACUGCAUAGCUAGAGUACGGUAGAGGGGGAUGGAAUUCCGCGUGUAGCAGUGAAAUGCGUAGAUAUGCGGAGGAACACCGAUGGCGAAGGCAAUCCCCCUGGACCUGUACUGACGCUCAUGCACGAAAGCGUGGGGAGCAAACAGG
Molecule: ribosomal RNA, 255 nt
Filed under: uncultured bacterium
Lineage: Bacteria
Description: partial 16S ribosomal RNA
Rfam family: Bacterial small subunit ribosomal RNA
Source: RNAcentral